AGGGUGCAAGCGUUAAUCGGAAUUACUGGGCGUAAAGCGUGCGCAGGCGGCUUGGCAAGACAGAUGUGAAAUCCCCGGGCUCAACCUGGGAACUGCAUUUGUGACUGCACAGCUUGAGUGCGGCAGAGGGGGAUGGAAUUCCGCGUGUAGCAGUGAAAUGCGUAGAUAUCGGGAGGAACAUCAGUGGCGAAGGCGACUGCCUGGCCCAACACUGACGCUGAGGUGCGAAAGCGUGGGUAGCAAACAGG
This 248-nucleotide ribosomal RNA is filed under the name uncultured bacterium. RNAcentral's name for it is "partial 16S ribosomal RNA". It matches the Rfam family "Bacterial small subunit ribosomal RNA", at positions 529 to 776 of the family's 1533-position model. The record is from RNAcentral.